Molecule: long non-coding RNA, 350 nt
Organism: Zophobas morio
Lineage: Eukaryota; Metazoa; Arthropoda; Insecta; Coleoptera; Tenebrionidae
Exons: 2
Source: RefSeq, a predicted model, not a curated record
CACGUAACUGAAGAUGUCCUUGCCUAUUGUCAAGUUUCAUAUAUAAAUGCCGCCUUUGCAGCUGGAUUUCAUUGUGAUUACGGUAUUUCACGAUGAAAAGUAUAAUCUUUGUGUGUGUUGUGCUUGUGGCCCUUACAUGCUUGGCUACUGAAGCUACAGCUCAACGAGCACCUCCCAACCUAGGAGGAUACAACGGAAACGCUCGAACUAACCCCCCUAGAACCAUUGGAGGUCCCGACAGUGUUUACAGGGGGGGCAACCGAGGAGGUAUCAGACGUCAAUAUUAAUAAAUAACUUCCACUGUACUUCUCCAACAAACAAAAAUAAAAUAACACACUUGCAUCUUAAAA